GGACUACUGGGGUAUCUAAUCCUGUUUGCUCCCCACGCUUUCGUGACUCAGUGUCAGUGCUGGUCCAGGUAGCCGCCUUCGCCACUGGUGUUCCUCCCGAUCUCUACGCAUUUCACCGCUACACCGGGAAUUCCACUACCCUCUACCGCACUCUAGCUUCCCAGUAUCCACUGCAAUUCCCAGGUUGAGCCCGGGGCUUUCACAGCAGACUUAAGAAACCACCUACUCACGCUUUACGCCCAGUAAUUCCGAGUAACGCUUGCACCCUUCGUAUUACCGCGGCUGCUGGCAC
RNAcentral lists this ribosomal RNA (292 nucleotides) under uncultured bacterium. RNAcentral describes it as "partial 16S ribosomal RNA". The record is from RNAcentral. RNAcentral also lists the same sequence under 1 other name.